GUCUUCGUGGUGUAGUGGUCAGCACAUGAGCCGGUAUUUCAGAGGUCCGUGGUUCGAUUCCCGGCGAAGGCG
RNAcentral lists this transfer RNA (72 nucleotides) under Stegodyphus mimosarum. It matches the Rfam family "tRNA". Rfam says of the family: Transfer RNA (tRNA) molecules are approximately 80 nucleotides in length. Their secondary structure includes four short double-helical elements and three loops (D, anti-codon, and T loops). The record is from Rfam by way of RNAcentral. Lineage: Eukaryota; Metazoa; Arthropoda; Arachnida; Araneae; Eresidae.